UACGUAGGGAGCAAGCGUUGUCCGGAAUUACUGGGUGUAAAGGGAGUGUAGGCGGGACGGCAAGUCAGAUGUGAAAUGUAGGGGCUCAACCCCUGAACUGCAUUUGAAACUGCUGUUCUUGAGUGAAGUAGAGGUAGACGGAAUUCCUAGUGUAGCGGUGAAAUGCGUAGAUAUUAGGAGGAACAUCAGUGGCGAAGGCGGUCUACUGGGCUUUUACUGACGCUGAGGCUCGAAAGCGUGGGGAGCAAACAGG
Molecule: ribosomal RNA, 253 nt
Filed under: uncultured bacterium
Lineage: Bacteria
Description: partial 16S ribosomal RNA
Rfam family: Bacterial small subunit ribosomal RNA
Source: RNAcentral